Non-coding RNA from Caenorhabditis elegans, 21 nucleotides. The record is from Ensembl. Lineage: Eukaryota; Metazoa; Nematoda; Chromadorea; Rhabditida; Rhabditidae.
UUAGGACUUUUGUAGACGUUU